AAGAAUGUGGGAGAACAAGAAGCAGAGAUUCUGCUUUCCCGGGCAACUUGGUUGACAACUUGAGAUGGCUUUCUUGGGAUUUUUAUUUUUCCCCUCUCUCUCCCAAAGAUCAGGAAAGGCUUUGUUUAUCUUGCAGGUACGAUUUAAAAGAUGACAAAAGCAGCUCCUAGUUUCCAUAGUGCCUCCACGAUCCAAGGACUUGAGUUGGCACCCUUACCACCACCACUGCUGCCGCCAUCCUUCACUGCAAGAUUCCAGGCUCAUCUUCCGCUGGAUGGGCUUCUUCAGUGUUUUUUGCUUUCUCAAGCAAUCGUAGAAUUGUGUUUCUUAAAUCUUCUUUUUUCCCGUGCGGAACCAAUAGGGGUAGAGAAAUCGCCCCCGAUUGGAUGUUUUUUUGAAGGGAAGAUAGACACGUUCUGCAUUCACUUUGCAUGCUUCUCUUAGCACUGAAAACCAUACGCUGCCUUUCUUUUGACCAAAGAAAUGGGCUCUUUUCAUUUUCAUUUUUUAAAAAAAAUUUUCUCUUGGGGAUGGUGUUCCUUAUAGCUGUUGUGUAAAGCAAGCUGUUGCUUUCAGCAGCUAAAAAGACCCAAGGGCUGCCUAAAGUGAAGUUGGGGCAUUAGGUGAAAAGAUACAAGGAAGACCACCUGGAGGGUCCAAGUAUUUCUCCUAGAAGAUGAUGGGCAAAUGACCUCCUUUGAAACAAAGGUUUUCAAAUAGGGCCAGGGCCGUCUUCAAAUAGGAGAAGGAUCAGUUAUUUAGAAAGGGACCAUAGUGGUGAUAAAGGAGAUUAGGGUUCUUGUCCUAACUGUCCUAGUAAGGUUGUCAGAUGCCAUUUUCUGGAACAAGGGAACAAGAAAAGUGGAGAAAUGCAGUGGGGAAACAAUUAUUUGCAAUGUUUAUAUUUUUCCCACAUUGGGGGAAUCCAUGCCUGAGCACUAUGCAUUUAGCUGACACUCCAAGUGGGAUAUCCCAUCCCAUCUCUGCAAAUCCUCAUGAACUGUGAUAGCAGGUGAUAAUCUUACCAUGCCUUUCUUGUUCUUUCUGCUUCCUGAAUUUUUAAAAUUGAAUCCGUUUGUGUUUUCUUCUCGGCUUGUUGCCCACUCUGUGCAGCCAAUCUAAAAGGGCAGAUUGCUUUCAUAGAGUUAUCUUUAUGGAUGCAGUUGCUCUAGUUGCUGUUUUUAACAUGAAUGUUGUUUGGUGCCUUCUUGCAUUCAGGACUUUGAUCUGGUGCUGAGAGCAAAGCUCUCCAGCUACACCAAGUUCUAGGACGGUGUGCAUGCUGUAGCAAGGAAAUUCUUAAUCUGUGCUCCAAAACAGAUUUACAAAGCCUGUCUACCUAUAUACAGUGAUAUUUGCAUGAUCUGCAUUUUGAUGACUUCCUUUGUACAGUAAGGAGAAAGAUCGGUACAGAAACUGUGAGGAGAUGAUGCUUCAAGGAACCACAAAAAUCACAAGAAACGAGAUGGCCAGAAAAGACUUGUGCUGAUUUCCAAGUUAUAUGGCAUGAUUUUUCUUAACUAGCAUGGAUAAAUUUUUAAGAUUUGCUACUGGGCUUUCCACAUAUAUAAAACUAAAGCAUUUUAACUUGUUUUUCCCCACUGAUAAAUCACUGCUUGCAAAAUUGCAACACUGCACCAUACAAUGCCACUUUGGCAGGGAUGGCGGCUGAGUUGAAUUCCUCUUUAAAAUAAAAUUUUAAAAAAACAACUAUUUUUAUCCCACUCAUACAACCAUUCUCCUCUGGUGGGGAAAAUCAGCUGCAUUGGGGUUGGCUUUAUAGAAGUUUGUUUUUUGUGGUCUUGUUAUGAAAAGGAACAUAACCAUGUGUUCUGUUUUAGAAUGAAUUUUAAAAAUCAUAGCUCGUAGCCCUUAGAAGCCAAAUCCCACUAAGACGCCUGAUGGUAGAAGUUGAAUUCUUCUCCUGUUCUGGGUCUUACAAGGUGGAGCUGGUGGGCGACUCUGGAAAGCAAGAAAAGAUGGACUUCCCAAAGCAUCUCCUUGGCUGUCCUAUCUUGAUGUUCUGUUCCACUGAGCAGAUUCUCUCCCAAUUACCCCCACACACAUACACACACUGUCAAAUUCCCAAUCGCUCUCCAUGCAUUUCUUCUAUUCGCACACCGUUGCCUCUCAUUUCUUGGGGGGAAAAAGAACCCCAAGGCCGCUCUUUGUAAUUUAUAAAUAGAUUUUUAAAAAUUGCUUGUAUCUCUUUGUACAAUCAUAGCGAAUGUAUCGGACACAACAACUACACCUCUCCACUGGAUCUGGUGGUGCCGCCCCCACAGGUUUGCUGGCAGAGUCUGCCUGUUGGGGGUUGAAUCACCCACUGCCUUCCAUCAUGCCAAACGGAGCUUGCCGUCUUCUUCAAGCAGGCUUUACCAUGCAAGCGUGUUGCUGGCUUUUUGUGCCUCUCAUAGCCACUGCUGUAAUUUGUUGUAGCAAAUAAACAAAGAGGAAAAUGUGA
Molecule: non-coding RNA, 2464 nt
Organism: Pseudonaja textilis
Lineage: Eukaryota; Metazoa; Chordata; Lepidosauria; Squamata; Elapidae
Source: RefSeq, a predicted model, not a curated record